UCCAGUCGGGGCGGGGGGAGGAGAAGGAGCGAGCGAGGCCGAAGGAGCCCCCCGCCCUCCUCUCCCUCGUCGACUGGGCCCGGGGAGGGGGCUCGGGGCUCAGGGGGGCCCUGCGGCUGCCCUCCUUCAAGGUGAAGCGGAAAGAGCCGUCGGAGCUGAACGAAGGGGGGGAGGAGAAACGGCCCCGGCCCCCCACCCCCCCCGAGGAGGAUGAGGACGACAAAGAACUGGCCCCCGGAGCCCCCCGGGCCGAGGCCCCCGGGAAGCGCCGGAAGCUUUUCCGGCUGGACAGCGAAGGGGAGGAGGCGUCCGAGGAGUCCUCCUCGGGCAAGG
Corapipo altera (White-ruffed manakin) is the source of this 333-nucleotide long non-coding RNA. RefSeq lists it as uncharacterized. The transcript has 3 exons. NCBI's taxonomy places the organism in Eukaryota, Metazoa, Chordata, Aves, Passeriformes, Pipridae. The record is from RefSeq and is a predicted model, not a curated record.